This is an RNA transcript of Otolemur garnettii (small-eared galago), 615 nucleotides long. It is a transcript of the gene named 60S ribosomal protein L29 pseudogene, with no coding region annotated. NCBI's taxonomy places the organism in Eukaryota, Metazoa, Chordata, Mammalia, Primates, Galagidae. The record is from RefSeq and is a predicted model, not a curated record. The transcript has a single exon.
UUCGGCAGUGGCGGGUCACAGUGCAGACAUGGCCAAGUCCAAGAACCACACCACACACAACCAGUCCCGAAAGUGGCACAGAAAUGGCAUCAAGAAACCCCGAUCACAAAGAUAUGAAUCUCUUAAGGGGGUAGAUCCCAAGUUCCUGAGGAACAUGCGCUUUGCCAAGAAACACAACAAGAAGGGCCUGAAGAAGAUGCAGGCCAACAAUGCCAAGGCUGUGAGUGCACGUGCUGAAGCUAUCAAGGCCCUUGUAAAGCCCAAGGAGGUUAAGACCAAGAUUCCAAAGGGUGCCAGCCAUAAACUCAGUUGACUUGCCUACAUAGCCCACCCCAGGCUUGGGAAGCAUGCUCGUGCACGCAUUGCCAAGGGUCUCAGGCUCUGCCGGCCAAAGGCCAAGGCCAAGGAUCAAACGAAGGCCCAAUCUGCUGCUUCAUCUGCAGCUCCAGCUUCAGUUCCAGCUCAGGCUCCCAAAGGUGUCCAGGCCCCCACGAAGGCUCCAGAGUAGAGGCAUCUGUCUGCCAUGAGGACAAAAGGACUGGUGUGACCUCUAGGCUGCUGUCUGUAUGGGGCUUGGGACCUCCUGUGCUAUUUGUACAAAUAAACCUGAGGCAG